This 441-nucleotide ribosomal RNA is filed under the name uncultured bacterium. Its description in RNAcentral is "partial 16S ribosomal RNA". It matches the Rfam family "Bacterial small subunit ribosomal RNA", at positions 338 to 795 of the family's 1533-position model. The record is from RNAcentral.
CCUACGGGUGACAGCAGUGGGGAAUAUUGCACAAUGGGGGAAACCCUGAUGCAGCAACGCCGCGUGAGUGAAGAAGUAUUUCGGUAUGUAAAGCUCUAUCAGCAGGGAAGAAGAAAGACGGUACCUGCCUUAGACGCCCUGGCUAACUACGUGCCAGCAGCCGCGGUAAUCCGUAGGGGGCAAGCGUUAUCCGGAUUUACUGGGUGUAAAGGGUGCGUAGUCGGUUGUGCAAGUCUGAAGUGAAAGCCCGUGGCUCAACCGCGGAACUUCUUUGGAAACUGUGUAGCUUGAGUACUGGAGAGGCGAGCGGAAUUCCUAGUGUAGCGGUGAAAUGCGUAGAUAUUAGGAGGAACACCAGUGGCGAAGGCGGCCUGCUGGACAGAAACUGACGUUGAGGCUCGAAAGCGUGGGGAGCAAACAGGAUUAGAUACCCCAGUAGUC